Molecule: ribosomal RNA, 1343 nt
Filed under: uncultured bacterium
Lineage: Bacteria
Description: 16S ribosomal RNA
Rfam family: Bacterial small subunit ribosomal RNA
Source: RNAcentral
GACGAACGCUGGCGGCGUGCUUAACACAUGCAAGUCGAACGGAAAGGCCCUGCUUUUGUGGGGUGCUCGAGUGGCGAACGGGUGAGUAACACGUGAGUAACCUGCCCUUGACUUUGGGAUAACUUCAGGAAACUGGGGCUAAUACCGGAUAGGAGCUCCUGCUGCAUGGUGGGGGUUGGAAAGUUUCGGCGGUUGGGGAUGGACUCGCGGCUUAUCAGCUUGUUGGUGGGGUAGUGGCUUACCAAGGCUUUGACGGGUAGCCGGCCUGAGAGGGUGACCGGCCACAUUGGGACUGAGAUACGGCCCAGACUCCUACGGGAGGCAGCAGUGGGGAAUAUUGCACAAUGGGCGGAAGCCUGAUGCAGCAACGCCGCGUGCGGGAUGACGGCCUUCGGGUUGUAAACCGCUUUCGCCUGUGACGAAGCGUGAGUGACGGUAAUGGGUAAAGAAGCACCGGCUAACUACGUGCCAGCAGCCGCGGUGAUACGUAGGGUGCGAGCGUUGUCCGGAUUUAUUGGGCGUAAAGGGCUCGUAGGUGGUUGAUCGCGUCGGAAGUGUAAUCUUGGGGCUUAACCCUGAGCGUGCUUUCGAUACGGGUUGACUUGAGGAAGGUAGGGGAGAAUGGAAUUCCUGGUGGAGCGGUGGAAUGCGCAGAUAUCAGGAGGAACACCAGUGGCGAAGGCGGUUCUCUGGGCCUUUCCUGACGCUGAGGAGCGAAAGCGUGGGGAGCGAACAGGCUUAGAUACCCUGGUAGUCCACGCUGUAAACGGUGGGUACUAGGUGUGGGGUCCAUUCCACGGGUUCCGUGCCGUAGCUAACGCUUUAAGUACCCCGCCUGGGGAGUACGGCCGCAAGGCUAAAACUCAAAGGAAUUGACGGGGCCCCGCACAAGCGGCGGAGCAUGCGGAUUAAUUCGAUGCAACGCGUAGAACCUUACCUGGGUUUGACAUGGAUCGGGAGCGCUCAGAGAUGGGUGUGCCUCUUUUGGGGUCGGUUCACAGGUGGUGCAUGGCUGUCGUCAGCUCGUGUCGUGAGAUGUUGGGUUAAGUCCCGCAACGAGCGCAACCCUUGUUCACUGUUGCCAGCACGUUAUGGUGGGGACUCAGUGGAGACCGCCGGGGUCAACUCGGAGGAAGGUGGGGAUGACGUCAAGUCAUCAUGCCCCUUAUGUCCAGGGCUUCACGCAUGCUACAAUGGCUGGUACAGAGAGUGGCGAGCCUGUGAGGAUGAGCGAAUCUCGGAAAGCCGGUCUCAGUUCGGAUUGGGGUCUGCAACUCGACCUCAUGAAGUCGGAGUCGCUAGUAAUCGCAGAUCAGCAACGCUGCGGUGAAUACGUUCCCGGG